This is a non-coding RNA of Microcebus murinus (gray mouse lemur), 1327 nucleotides long. The record is from RefSeq and is a predicted model, not a curated record. Lineage: Eukaryota; Metazoa; Chordata; Mammalia; Primates; Cheirogaleidae.
GUGUGGGUGUACUUUAUUCCCUCCCAGGCUGAGUAUGUAAGAAUUACAGUAUGGUCUACUCUCAUCUGUUGCCCUAGAGAUAUGGGGUUUUACGAGUAUGCCAAUCAUUUAAAAACUAAAACAGGAAGUGAAUGGUAAUGUGUUUGGUCUCCAAGGUGAAAAGUCAACAGAUUCUACCUUAUUGUAAUUUUUGUAAUGAUGAAUCAUUAGCCAGUGGAAUUAACAUAUUUUGUGUGGUCUUGAAAACAACAGUGUGGAAUUAUCAAACAAAAUCUUAAUCAAAGAUCUUUAAAGUAAGGAUAAUACCUCCCUAGAACCUGGAGGAGCUUUGGUGGAGAAACUGCUGGACCAGAAGGAGAACUCGAUCACAGGAGAAAGCUGUGCAAGAAGAAGAGAAGCUGGGAUGCUGUACCUUGGGUAGAAGUGGGCUGGGCUUCUCUCUCUCAGUUUCCUUCUAUCCUCCUACUCCCUCUGCUACCUCCACUCCUCUCAAGUCCCAUAGAAGCCUUUGUCUAUGGGGGUGGUUACUAUAGCUGGGCUUAAAGUCUUUCUUUUAUUAUUCCUACAAAAAAUCUCCCUGGAGUAGGCUAAUAUUAUCACCAUUUUACAGAUGAAGUAGCAUAUGUCACUAGCCCACAAUUAUAAAGAAAAUGAAAAAGCAGAAAUUAGAAAAUUGUUCUGUGCUUAGUUACCUAAAAAAGGUUCAUAAUAUCCAUGUGAUUAAUCCCAGAGUAAGUGGCAUGAAGGUUCAGAAAUAGCUGGAAAAUUCAGAAGAAAAAUUCUCCCUUUACCUCUAAAGAUUUUCCCUCCCCUUUUUCCCCCUCAAUACAUUUCAGUGGGAAACUUCUCAAUACUUUCAGAAAAUGAGAAAGAAAAAAAAACAUUAACUUUCCUUCCUCUGCCAAACAUUUUUAAGGUAGGUUUUCAUAUCUCAAUCCAGAGAGAGUAGAAAAUUGGGUACUGUCUUGAGACUCAGUAUUUUAGUGGCAGGGAGAUCCUGUGUACUUAUUUAAAACAGGUAUCUGGAGCGAAGUUUCUGCAGCAAGGAGCAGAAGGAGGUGUGGCCACCAGUGGAUGCCAAGAUAACCUUGCAGUGUUCAUGCAUAAGCAGCAGCACAUAAUGGCCUCUCUACCGCAAGUCACCGAGGCCAUGACGAAGCAUUACCAUCUCACGUGAGGCUGCUUCUCCAGAUGAAGCAGAGAUUGAAAUGUCACACCAGCAUGAUCAAUUAGAUGAUGUAGAAUAGAGAGGCAUUUGCUACCUGACCUUAAUCCACGGGGCAAGAAUGACUGAGUGGAGAAGAUUAAAUAUAGAGAGACUCAAAGG